Long non-coding RNA from Physeter macrocephalus (sperm whale), 642 nucleotides. RefSeq lists it as uncharacterized. The record is from RefSeq and is a predicted model, not a curated record. The transcript has 3 exons. NCBI's taxonomy places the organism in Eukaryota, Metazoa, Chordata, Mammalia, Artiodactyla, Physeteridae.
UUGGGAGGGGAAGGAAGACGCAGGCCCCAGGAGCUGCCUUCCUGGCGCGGGUCCUCAACCCUCAGCUUGGACCAGAAACAGGGACGGGCGAGAGCGCUUGUCGGGACAGGCCUGGAAUGCUGUCCUCCCCCCCCACCACCGCCAGCACUCAGGCCCUCCACCUCCAGGAAGCCACUCCUGCCCACCCCAGCCUUCCUGAUCUUUCUCCCCUUGGAACUCUGAUGGCAACUCCAUUCAGGGAAGACUCCCUGAGGUUGUGCUGGGGCCUCGAGAGGCCAAGACCAAGAGGAAGGCGUGGCCCUGCCCUCGGGGGAGCUCCCAGGAGGAAGCGGAGACCCGCCUGGAUGCCAGGCUGCGCAGCGAGGAGCGGCCCAUCUGAGGAGUAAAUCUGGGACCAGCUUCACAGAGCCCAGGUUGGAUCGCAGAAAAACCCUGAUACUCCUGAAAGUCCUCUGCCCAGGGAAGGAAGCCUGAACCUACCUCACCAUUAUACUCUCAUGUUGGGCCCUCCCUGCUGGGGAGAGAGAACAGGCCAGAGAGUCCACCAGGCAUCACACCUCACCCGGAAUGAGCAGGCCCACCUGCCUCAUCCAGCACCUCUCAGCAGAGAGCCCACACCGCACUGUGGAAACAGGAAGAGAG